RNAcentral lists this unclassified non-coding RNA (233 nucleotides) under Coniochaetales sp. RNAcentral's name for it is "partial contains small subunit ribosomal RNA, internal transcribed spacer 1, and 5.8S ribosomal RNA". The stretch from base 1 to 46 matches the Rfam family "Eukaryotic small subunit ribosomal RNA", at positions 1786 to 1831 of the family's 1831-position model. The record is from RNAcentral. Lineage: Eukaryota; Fungi; Ascomycota; Sordariomycetes; Coniochaetales.
AAGUCGUAACAAGGUUUCCGUAGGUGAACCUGCGGAGGGAUCAUUACGAGAGUUACAAAACUCCCUAAAACCCACUGUAAAUAUACCUAUUUUGGCUACUUCGGCAGGCGGUCCCAGGGCGGGGCCAUGGCCUUUUAGGCGCCUGCCAAAGCCUAUAAAACUCUUACUAUUACUGUAUUCUGAGCAUAAAAACAAAGAAGUUAAAAUUUUCAAUUGUGGAUCUCUUGGUUCUG